UUCCUUCUGCAGCGCUUUACGGGUGCGUUUGGUUCGCGCUAUCUUUUAAAGAUUCCUAAUAAUUCAAUGGGAAUAAAAAAAUAUAACGGUAUUUGGCUAAACGUACUAAGUAAUCUAGUUGGUAAUAUUGGAUUCACUUGGGAAUAAGAUUUAUACCAAAGUACUAAUCUCAUUUUCUUGAGGGAGGAUGGAUAUCCUCAUAUUAAUGGAUUGGGGUAAUCAUAAUAUGUCUAAUUUUUUUCUGUCUUCCUAUCCGCCGGCUAAUUGAUAUUAUUUUUUUUUACACUCUAACCUUAUAUCUCUCUCUAAACUUAUUUUUCUCUCUAAAAUUCAACUUUUUUUUCUCUCUCCAAACUAAGCUCUCUCUCUCUCUUUCUAAAAUUUCAACUCUCUCACUUCCUCUAAUUUCGACUAUAUUUUUCUUUCUAUUUUUUUAAUUAUGCUCUCUCUCUCUAACUUAUACGCUCUCUCUAUUUUUUCUAAAAAGAUAUUGAAACUUUUGGUAACAUUAUCUAAAAUUAAUUGUAUAUUUUUUGUAAUAUUAAAUAACAUGACUAAUUAAUAUUACCGUGCGAACCAAACACAGAAAUUCCACAUUCUUAGUAAUAGGAUGAAUAUGAAUAAGAUUCUCGGAUAUCUUUUAUUCCUAGUAAUCUUUUAUAAUGCGAACCAAACGCAUCCUACAAGUAAUCCCAACCCUUCCUUUUUGCCUGGUCGGCGGCACGUGUCACUUUUCCAAUGGCCAACCAUUGUGCACCUGGUCCAGUGGGACCACACCAAACUUGGACGUAUCCUCCUCGGCCCACUCAAUGAAAAAGGAACCCCCCACUCCAUAGCUCUAUAAAACGAAAAAUUCUAGAAUGCAACGGGUAUAUUAGUGACGUGGCGUAACAAACCAAUCAAAUUAAUCCUUUUAAGAAUAUAUGUUCCAUCAUGAUUGUAAAAAAAUACUUUUAUUGUACUUUUGUUUGAAAUGAAGGAAUGUGAUUGGCUUGUUAUUGAUGACGUGGUGCAAGUGUGACAGUGUAGAAUUCCUCCUA
This 1040-nucleotide long non-coding RNA is filed under the name Ananas comosus (pineapple). Its description in RNAcentral is "long non-coding RNA (ACOM_LNC010700)". The record is from RNAcentral. Lineage: Eukaryota; Viridiplantae; Streptophyta; Magnoliopsida; Poales; Bromeliaceae.